UUUGUACUCCCUCCAUCCGGAAUUACUUGCCACAAAAAUUGAUACAAAUGGAUGUAUCUAGAACUAAAAGACAUUUACAUACAUCCAUUCCUACGACAAGUAUUUCCGGACGGAGGGAGUAGCAU
This is a non-coding RNA of Hordeum vulgare subsp. vulgare (domesticated barley), 125 nucleotides long. The record is from Rfam. NCBI's taxonomy places the organism in Eukaryota, Viridiplantae, Streptophyta, Magnoliopsida, Poales, Poaceae.